This 58-nucleotide transfer RNA is filed under the name Ascaridia sp. GHL-2013. Its description in RNAcentral is "tRNA-Trp". The record is from RNAcentral. Lineage: Eukaryota; Metazoa; Nematoda; Chromadorea; Rhabditida; Ascaridiidae.
GCAGAUUUAGGUUAAUUUGUUAAACUUUUGGUCUUCAAAACUAAAGAAAUAGUCUGUA